RNAcentral lists this ribosomal RNA (397 nucleotides) under uncultured bacterium. RNAcentral describes it as "bacterial SSU rRNA". It matches the Rfam family "Bacterial small subunit ribosomal RNA", at positions 28 to 428 of the family's 1533-position model. The record is from RNAcentral.
GACGAACGCUGGCGGCGCGCUUAACACAUGCAAGUCGAGCGGUAAGGCCCUUUCGGGGGUACACGAGCGGCGAACGGGUGAGUAACACGUGGGUGACCUGCCCUCAGCUCUGGGAUAAGCCUGGGAAACCGGGUCUAAUACCGGAUAUGACUCCAUGACGCAUGUUGUGGGGUGGAAAGCCUUGUGCGGCUGAGGAUGGGCCCGCGGCCUAUCAGCUUGUUGGUGGGGUGANGGCCUACCAAGGCGACGACGGGUAGCCGGCCUGAGAGGGCGACCGGCCACACUGGGACUGAGACACGGCCCAGACUCCUACGGGAGGCAGCAGUGGGGAAUCUUGCGCAAUGGGCGAAAGCCUGACGCAGCGACGCCGCGUGAGGGAUGACGGCCUCGGUUGUAA